RNAcentral lists this ribosomal RNA (198 nucleotides) under uncultured bacterium. RNAcentral's name for it is "partial 16S ribosomal RNA". It matches the Rfam family "Bacterial small subunit ribosomal RNA", at positions 328 to 539 of the family's 1533-position model. The record is from RNAcentral.
ACGCUCGACACCUACGGGAGGCAGCAGUUGGGAAUAUUGGACAAUGGAGGAAACUCUGAUCCAGUGACGCCGCGUGAAGGAAGAAGGUCUUCGGAUUGUAAACUUAUUUUGUCAGGGAAGAAAAUGACUGUACCUGAAGAAAAAGCACCGGCUAACUACGUGUCAGCAGCCGCGGUAAUCUGAGCGGGCUGGCAAGGC